This 597-nucleotide long non-coding RNA is filed under the name Lathyrus oleraceus (garden pea). Its description in RNAcentral is "Pisum sativum (pea) long non-coding RNA (PSAT_LNC032416)". Lineage: Eukaryota; Viridiplantae; Streptophyta; Magnoliopsida; Fabales; Fabaceae. The record is from RNAcentral.
CUAUAACUAAAACAGUUAUAAUAGUAUAGUUAUUAUUACAACAACAAGGCUCAAACUAAAAAUCACACAGUACAUAUACAGUUCCCACUCACUUCUAGUCUAGAUAGUACGAGGGAAGCGUAACUUAUUCUUAAAAAAAAAGCGCGUUUGGUAAAUCCAAAUUCAAAACAAGCAUAUUACAACAUUAUUUAAUUGAAAUGAUAGCAUUAUUAAAAGCUAGUAAUAAUCUCAACGACGGAAGGGAAGCGUAACUUAUUCUUAAAAAAAAAGCGCGUUUGGUAAAUCCAAAUUCAAAACAAGCAUAUUACAACAUUAUUUAAUUGAAAUGAUAGCAUUAUUAAAAGCUAGUAAUAAUCUCAACGACGGUUUGUUGGGAAAUUGUCCUUGUUCUGAUCAUCAUUUCCCAUCCCAAGAGUAUUCUUAACUGCUUCAGUAGCACCUUGGGCCACACCCUUCACCUUCUCUCCUGUCGUCUGUAGAAGCCCAGGUGAGUUGUCUUUUCCUGAUUGGGCUUUUUCUUUGGUGGCCUGCCCUUUCUCUCUGGCUUGACAAGAUGUGUCUUGGGCUUUUUCCUUUGUUGCUUGGGCUGUCUGAUGG